CCUGAAUUGAGUUGACCCUUUUUUAUUAUUAACCAGUCCAUUAUUUGUCAUAUGUGGGUAUCUAAAUAUUUUAAGCCUGUUUUACACAUUUACAUAGGAAUAUUUUUUCUUGUGUUUUUGGAAAGCAAAUUUUUUUAUUUUAACAGAUGGGACCAGAUGUGGUGGUAUGUAUCUGCAGUAUCAGCUUAUGGGGGCGGUUGAGGCAGGAGAAUCACUUGAGCCCAGGAGUUUCCAGGACAUCCCACAACAUAGCAAGACCCCAUCUCAGAAAGAAAACAAAACCCACAGGGAAGCUAAUGUCAAAGCUUUAAGAUAUAGGGUGGCACUGGAAAUGUAUUUUUGAUGUAUGUGGAGAAAAUUACUAGUCAGCCAGGAAAACAUCAGAAUCAUAAACUACUGGGUACAGAUCCAGAAAAUGUUGAAGAUGUAAUUUCUGGAGCUGGGGAUGUAGCCCAAGUGAUAGAGCUUUUGCCUAGAAUGAAUUAUGGGUUUUAUCCAUAACUGGGUGGCGACAGGGUUUCUGUGUGUGUGUAUGUGUGUGUGUGUAAACUGGUUAGUUGGUAUCAUGUCAUCAAUCAAACAUUAUCUUGCAGAGCCAGGAGGUACUCCUGUGGUUUGCAGGGUAAUUCCUUAUUUUCAAACCUUUUUCACUCUUUUAUCUCUAUCUGUGCCCCCUUCCCCCCCUUCUAUUUCCCUGGUGCUGGGGAUUAAACCUGGGGCCUUGUGAAUUGCUAGGCAAGUGUUCUACCGCUGAACCAUACUCUCAGCCUGAGAGCUUUUUACUCUAAGCUUGUAGAACCUAUUUCUUCCUAUACAUUUCACUUUUCCAGCUUUGGGCUCCCCUCCUCCCUAAAGGAUUCAGUCAAUCCGCAGCAUCUUUCUCCUUUAUUUCACCCAUCACUUGGAACCCACUGUCAGCAGCUCACUGUUCCCACCCAAUUCAUUCAUUCAUUCAACUACUAUCUAUUCAGUGCAGGCAUUGAGCAAGAAGUUAAGGAUGCAGGGAUCAAUACCAC
RNAcentral lists this long non-coding RNA (1016 nucleotides) under Marmota monax (woodchuck). The record is from RNAcentral. Lineage: Eukaryota; Metazoa; Chordata; Mammalia; Rodentia; Sciuridae.